This 497-nucleotide ribosomal RNA is filed under the name uncultured bacterium. Its description in RNAcentral is "partial 16S ribosomal RNA". It matches the Rfam family "Bacterial small subunit ribosomal RNA", at positions 28 to 507 of the family's 1533-position model. The record is from RNAcentral.
GAUGAACGCUGGCGGCGUGCCUAAUACAUGCAAGUCGAGCGAACAGAUGAGGAGCUUGCUCCUCUGACGUUAGCGGCGGACGGGUGAGUAACACGUGGAUAACCUACCUAUAAGACUGGGAUAACUUCGGGAAACCGGAGCUAAUACCGGAUAAUAUAUUGAACCGCAUGGUUCAAUAGUGAAAGACGGUUUUGCUGUCACUUAUAGAUGGAUCCGCGCCGCAUUAGCUAGUUGGUAAGGUAACGGCUUACCAAGGCAACGAUGCGUAGCCGACCUGAGAGGGUGAUCGGCCCCCCUGGAACUGAGACACGGUCCAGACUCCUACGGGAGGCAGCAGUAGGGAAUCUUCCGCAAUGGGCGAAAGCCUGACGGAGCAACGCCGCGUGAGUGAUGAAGGUCUUCGGAUCGUAAAACUCUGUUACUAGGGAAGAACAAAUGUGUAAGUAACUAUGCACGUCUUGACGGUACCUAAUCAGAAAGCCACGGCUAACUACGUG